AUGAAUCAUCUGGAGGGAUCCAUAGUAGAAGGUUAUUUAGGUCAAGAGUGUAUGAAUUUUUGUAUCGUAUACUUAAACAAGCUCGAGACAUGUCAUAAUCGGCCAAUGAGGAAUCAAGAUGAUCAGUAUGAGCCGAUUGAGUCUGCAUUUGAGUCUAUUCUACAGUCAGGUGAACUUUUUACUACAUACCACCUUACUAAUUUGAGCCUUG
This 211-nucleotide long non-coding RNA is filed under the name Elaeis guineensis (African oil palm). Its description in RNAcentral is "long non-coding RNA (EGUI_LNC018216)". The record is from RNAcentral. Lineage: Eukaryota; Viridiplantae; Streptophyta; Magnoliopsida; Arecales; Arecaceae.